GCAGUCGAACGGUAGCACAGAGAGCUUGCUCUCGGGUGACGAGUGGCGGACGGGUGAGUAAUGUCUGGGAAACUGCCUGAUGGAGGGGGAUAACUACUGGAAACGGUAGCUAAUACCGCAUAACGUCGCAAGACCAAAGAGGGGGACCUUCGGGCCUCUUGCCAUCAGAUGUGCCCAGAUGGGAUUAGCUAGUAGGUGGGGUAACGGCUCACCUAGGCGACGAUCCCUAGCUGGUCUGAGAGGAUGACCAGCCACACUGGAACUGAGACACGGUCCAGACUCCUACGGGAGGCAGCAGUGGGGAAUAUUGCACAAUGGGCGCAAGCCUGAUGCAGCCAUGCCGCGUGUAUGAAGAAGGCCUUCGGGUUGUAAAGUACUUUCAGCGGGGAGGAAGGUGUUGUGGUUAAUAACCGCAGCAAUUGACGUUACCCGCAGAAGAAGCACCGGCUAACUCCGUGCCAGC
RNAcentral lists this ribosomal RNA (463 nucleotides) under Enterobacter cloacae. Its description in RNAcentral is "bacterial SSU rRNA". It matches the Rfam family "Bacterial small subunit ribosomal RNA", at positions 57 to 512 of the family's 1533-position model. The record is from RNAcentral. Lineage: Bacteria; Pseudomonadati; Pseudomonadota; Gammaproteobacteria; Enterobacterales; Enterobacteriaceae.